CGAACCACGUAAAAAGAUCUGUCUCCCUUUACAUUUCUGUGUUUUAUUUUCUUUUAUGUGUGUUAAUGUAUGUUUUGAUGGUUAAGAUCAUCAUGGGUGUAGACAUCAAAAAAGAUGCAACUAUAUUUUGGCGCUAGAAACCCGUGAAAGAACAUUAAUACUUCACUACCAGCAAGUUCUGUAUCAGAUUUAGUUGAGAUCCAGGCGAUCCACGAAGCUCCAAGGGUAUCUCUGUCAAAAGAAGAGAUGAAUCUCGGACAACAAAUGUGUGGCUCGUCCAAACGAAGCUUAGACAAAAGAAAGAAAAGCGACGAAAUCUCUACAGCAGAUUUCUCACCAACAUCAACUGGGAAUUAAAAAUUUUUCUCCUCUCUCUUCAUCUUCUUCUUAAUAUUUCAGAUCUACAAGAUUUAAACAAAAAAUGUCAGACAAAUCUACUACAAAAACUAGGGCUUGUUCUUUAAUACAAGUCUGAUUUUGGUUCCAAAUCUUUACUAAAAAAAAAUGGUGAUGGGCGAAGUCGCAUCGAAGCAGCAACAGCAAAGAACCACUCGGAGAAGAAAGCUUCAAAGCUGCGUAGGGCUGGCCAAUUGAAGUCAGUCACCAAUUCUCAUCGUCCUGCCUCUCAGGAGCUACAUCGGAGAAGCUAUUGAAACUAAAUUGAUGAUGUGCGAGAUUGCAUCGGAGCAGUAACAACAGCUGCUAACCUGCUAUCCAUCAACAUCUUUGCCUGAAUUGGGAGAAACAACGGUGGAAGAAUUCACAUCGGAGUGAUUCAACAACCUCGCGUUCACCUCGAGACCAACUCGUGUAGAACCAUCAGAAUCAAUCGGGCAGACUAUUUCGCACAGCUCAACUAGGAGCAGUCAUCUUGUACAUCUCAAUCCCGAGCAUCCAUCUCGGACAGAAAAGCAACAGACCGAUGCUGAAACAAAAUCCAGCAUGAUGGGUUCAACCAGAGCAUGAACUCGGGGCUUAUUUUUUCUAUCUCUCUUCGUACUCUCUUACAUUGCAAUAGCCAAACAAGUAUAUUCACAUGACUACUCACUUGAUUGAGUUGCUGUUGUAGAAAAACGAUGGUGGAGGAUAUCACAUUGGAAUCACCAGCUCGUGUUCCACUCGAGACCAACUCGUGGAGAUACCACCGAUACAAUCAGACAGCCCAAAUGGGAGAACGAUGGAGUCCAACCCAUAGUGUACCAGAGGCAACACGAUUAAGGUCGUGAAGAAGCAAUCAGAAGAAGCCAGAGCUCGGACAGCUCAAAUUGCAACAAUCAUCUCGUACUGGAAAAGUAACCAACACGAAGGGAGCCAGUCAGAGCAUGAUCUCGGACUCACCAGCCAUCUCGGACUCAUCAGUUCAUCUCCGAUCACCAAUCUCGGAUAGGCAAUCAACAGGGCAACCAGAGCAUGCACUCGAAUUGCACCUGGACACCAUACCAGGAGCACGAACUCGGACUCUCCAUCUCCGAGCAGCAACUUGGACAACAUACCUUUUUUACCUUAUCUAAUAAUUAGUCUUUUGGUUUACAAUAGCUAAAUGACUGAUUCCUAUAUACUUAAAUAAUUGUUCUUUGAAUCAAAAGAAUUUUGAUAAAUUCCACGAACAGCAGGUGAACGAUAAUAUACUCCACAAAGGCAUUCUUCAAUGGAAUCUAUCUUAGAUGGUUCAUCCAUGCUCGCCAGGCUUAUCCCGGAGCAACCAUCUCGUACUGGCAAAGCAAUCGUCACAAUGGAGUUCAACCCAUAUCGUACCAGAGGCGAUGUCGGGCUCAUCAGUGCAUCUCCAAGCAUUAUUAGGUACAUACUAAUAUGUUCAGAAGGACUCAUAUCAGAGCAGCAACUCGUGCUUGUGAAUAUGCUCUACGGAAAAUGCUCUAGAGCGCUCAUUUCAGGUCGCUUAUUGUGAUGCAUCCUUGCUCGCGAAGCUCACUGCGACUCGAGAUCAUCUCGAGAGCAACAACCUAAAACAGGAGAAAUUCUUAUCUCUAUCUAUAAAAUUUAUUAUGCCUAUCAAGUCUGAAUACAUAUCUUUCAUCAAAAGCUCACCAAGCUACAAUAAAUGUCAUUAUUAAUGACAUCAUAACUUGUCUAUAGCUUUUUUUAAAAUGGUAAUUAACCUUUAAUUGAAGUACACAGGGGCAAAAUGCAACCUCAUGACAAAGGCUACAAAGUUAAAGGACGAUACGAUCUCCUACCUUUCUUGCCAGUCUAAGGACAAAAAGGGCACUUUCUAACUCAUAUAUUGAAUAUACAUAUGCCUAACCAAGGCACAAUUUUGCUCAAGAGCAAGCUAAGAAAAUAGCUAGUCGCACAGACUCAAGUCGAUAUACGUAUCGUACUGGUACAUCCAGAAUUAGGUGGCGCAAUCUAGCAUGCCUGCUCCACAACGAGCUUUAUAAUAAAUGAUAAUGCGACAUCAUAUCGCAUAAAAAUGAGCAGAAAAUGUUUACAUAAAGUAAAUGCUUUAGAAUUAUCGAAUGCUUUUAACAUUAUGAUGUAUUAACAUUUCAUGUUUUGCAGCAAGUCUUCAUUAUGGUUGGAGAAUUCAGUUAAGUCGGAUCGAUUAUCCGUAUAUAGUAAAGUCGGAUUAGACAUAAUCCGCAUAAAGGCAUGCUUAUCGUGCAUUAGGAACUAGCAUUAUGCUAGAUAAGAAUAGAGUCGGAUUAGUUGAAAUCUGCAUAAAGGCAUGCUUAUCAUGCACUAAGGUUAGAGUCGGAUUAGUUGUAAUCCGCAGUAAAGUUAUUAUUGUGUUUCUGUCUUCUUGUAGGUACACUUGAUGUAUGUAUGGUACAUCUGCUAGUUAUAUAUAUGUGUUUUCCUGCAGGGUUAAAUGGUGUAUCAUACAUACAUCCUCCUCUUGUUCUAUAUGUAUGUGUUUGCUUGCAGGGACAUUCGAUGAAUGUUGAAUGAAUGUGAUAUAAAUAUCUUCCUCUUGUCAUAUCUGUGUUUUCCUGCAGGGUAACUUAGUGUUCUUAAUAUGAAAUUUGUCCAUCACCGAUGAUAAUUGGAGCAUGAUCCCCAUCCGAGAAAACAUCUUCUCGAGAUGGUAAUUGGGGAACGAUCCCCAUCCAAGAAAACAUCUUCUCGAGACCAUUACGAAUGGUAUCUGGGUAAACCAAACCCUCGCGCGAGAAAAUAUCUUCUCAAAACCAUCACGAUGGUAAUCGGGCCAAGAACCCCAUACGAGAAAACCUAUUCUCGAUGCCAUAUAAUUUAUGUUCAUGUGAUUGUAUUAUUUAUUAUUUUGAUCUGUUGAAUGCAUGAAUUAUAUAUGUUGUUUGCAGGUUCGCUCACUUAGUAUUGAUCCAUCACGAAUGGUAAUCAGGAUACUAGUCCUAUGCGAGGAAACAUCUCCUCACGACCAUCACGAAUGGUAAGGUGCUAGCCACACCAUUCCAUCCUCAAACAGGAUGAUGCGAGCAAUGCUCAAGCUACCCGAGAUGGACACACUGACCUAGGGUAAUGCCACCUGUACUUCAGGAGAUAACCUAUAGUUGACUCACUUUAGGCAGAAGUGCGAAUCAACUACCAGAGGUGCAAGCUACAGGAAGUGCCAUCAUAAAUGAUAUAUUCAGAAAGUGGAGUUAGGGGCCAACCUUGACUUUGGCUUUCAAAAGCUAUAAGCUCUUAAGCUUCCAAAAACCAAAGGGGGCAGUAUAUACCCUCGAUACUUUCAUAUUGAGGCAAACAGUAAGUCCUCGGGGAAAGGCUUCGGAUUACGAUCCGAAGGCAUUUUGAGUCCCCACAGAUACAAGCCUCCAAUUGGAGCACGAAGUAAGACCUCAGACUCCACUCCGAAGGCAUUCAACAAGAUCUUACGUCCACACGAUUUGAGGCAAAUAGUAAGUCCUCCGGGCAAGGCUUCGAACUGUCAUCCGAAGAUAUUUUGAGUCCGCAAAGAUAUGAGCAUCCGAUAUAUCUCGGAACCAACACAAGUCCUCGGACCACCAUCCGAAGGCAUCUGAUAAAUCUUAUAGCAGCACGAUUUGAGGCAUUUAGUAAACCCUCGGAGCAUGACCUCGGACUGCAAUCUCAAAGUCAUUUGGCAAGACCCCACAACGAUGUGUCACACGCAUAAGACUUUUUACACCAGUAAAAAGCUACAGGAUUCAAAGCUUAUCUAUCCUCAGCUUAUUUCAAUUUAUUUCAUUUCAUGGAGUUUAUUUUGGAUUUUUUCAAAAACUUAUCCUCUCAAACGAUAACAGGAGCAUAUAUAUUGGAAUAAGGAAAAACCCUCAUCGCUCGGAGCAAGAAGCAAGCUAAAGAUGCAAAGGCAAUUAGCCAAUUGCGAAGAAAUCUAAGUAUCACCUUUAUUAAGGAGCUAUCUCACUGUGCAUUCCACUAAUUCUUCUAGCAAUAUGCUUAAUAGCUUAAUAUAUAGCUUAAAUAGAUUACAUAUGCAUGAAAAUCAUUCAUACCAUAAGCAUGCUUAAUGAUAUAAAAUAUCUUAUUUGUCUAUGCCAAUGCAAGACUUUAAACUGUUCUUACCUCUUACAACUGUAGUACUUGACUACUAUAAUGUUUAUGCUUGUGAAGCAAAGUAAAUCUUGAACUUAUAUUUCUGCAAUAUAGCAAUUACUACUCUCGCUUGAGCAGCAGGUACCCAUGAUAGUCCCGAGAAGCACUACACGACAAGUCGUCAAGAACUGAUGCUAACCAAGCCAAAUGGAGUUGGAGCACGAACCGCCAAGGAGCAACCACAACGAUCACGAACACAAAGACUGCCUCAGAACUUCACACAAGAACAUGGGCAAGUAUUAAUACUUUAAAAGCUGGUUAUGUUCUUCUGCGAAGUUCCUUCAGCAACAAAGAUCCAUGAAGCUCGGUACCACACACCACCAACUGAAGUCAUCAACCAACUCCAGCAAAGAAUCAAAGACCAAGAAUUGAGAGCGACCUCGCACUGUUACUCGGAACCGCAACUCGCACAUCCACAUCAUGUAGCACAUAUCAUGGAUCGUGAAGCACAAGCAUAACAACAACCAACUCGGACGACCCCAACCAAACACUCUAUAGAAGUGAAGCCAAACUACAAGCCAGAUCGGAACCAAACAUGUUCAGAUAUCUCGCUCAGCCACUUCUCUCGCCUUCAAAGCCAUACUGAUGUUGAUUCUCUUAAGGAUUAUUGUUCCAACAACCCUCAACCAAAGGAGCAAAAUGUGAGGGCAAAUUAUCAACUCGCUACGUGGCGCAAGAUCAAGAGCCGAAGUAUCCUACUAUAAUACAACCUACUACACAAUGUAUACCCAACCACUUAGUCUUAUCCUAUCUAGUCAGCCCUAAGGGCGUAUUUGUAAUUGAUGUAACCACCUACCCUAUAAAA
Papaver somniferum (opium poppy) is the source of this 5326-nucleotide long non-coding RNA. RefSeq lists it as uncharacterized. NCBI's taxonomy places the organism in Eukaryota, Viridiplantae, Streptophyta, Magnoliopsida, Ranunculales, Papaveraceae. The record is from RefSeq and is a predicted model, not a curated record. The transcript is spliced from 4 exons.